GAGUUUGAUCCUGGCUCAGAACGAACGCUGGCGGCAGGCUUAAUACAUGCAAGUCGAACGGCUGUAGCAAUACAGCAGUGGCAGACGGGUGAGUAACACGUGGGAACCUACCUAGGGGUACGGAAUAACUCAGGGAAACUUGUGCUAAUACCGUAUACGACCUCAGGGUG
RNAcentral lists this ribosomal RNA (170 nucleotides) under uncultured bacterium. RNAcentral describes it as "partial 16S ribosomal RNA". It matches the Rfam family "Bacterial small subunit ribosomal RNA", at positions 9 to 188 of the family's 1533-position model. The record is from RNAcentral.